CAGUCGAGCGCGAAAGGCCUUCGGGCUGAGUAGAGCGGCGGACGGGUGAGUAACGCGUAGGAAUCUACCUGGUAGUGGGGGACAACAUGGUGAAAACCAUGCUAAUACCGCAUACGCCCUAUGGGGGAAAGCGGGGGACCUUCGGGCCUCGCGCUAUCAGAUGAGCCUGCGUAGGAUUAGCUUGUUGGUGAGGUAAAGGCUCACCAAGGCGACGAUCCUUAGCUGGUCUGAGAGGAUGAUCAGCCACACUGGAACUGAGACACGGUCCAGACUCCUACGGGAGGCAGCAGUGGGGAAUAUUGCGCAAUGGGCGAAAGCCUGACGCAGCCAUGCCGCGUGUGUGAAGAAGGCCUUCGGGUUGUAAAGCACUUUCAAUUGGGAAGAAAGGUUGCGUGUUAAUAGCACGCAGCUGUGACGUUACCUUUAGAAGAAGCACCGGCUAACUCCGUGCCAGCAGCCGCGGUAAUACGGAGGGUGCGAGCGUUAAUCGGAAUUACUGGGCGUAAAGCGCGCGUAGGCGGUUUGUUAAGUCGGAUGUGAAAUCCCCGGGCUCAACCUGGGAAUGGCAUUCGAUACUGGCCGACUAGAGUACGAGAGAGGGAGGUAGAAUUCCACGUGUAGCGGUGAAAUGCGUAGAUAUGUGGAGGAAUACCGGUGGCGAAGGCGGCCUCCUGGCUCGAUACUGACGCUGAGGUGCGAAAGCGUGGGUAGCAAACAGGAUUAGAUACCCUGGUAGUCCACG
RNAcentral lists this ribosomal RNA (742 nucleotides) under uncultured bacterium. Its description in RNAcentral is "bacterial SSU rRNA". It matches the Rfam family "Bacterial small subunit ribosomal RNA", at positions 59 to 799 of the family's 1533-position model. The record is from RNAcentral.